UCCCGUAAACGGCGUAAAGAGUGGUACCAUGCUAUCACAACAACUAAGACCAAAGCACAACUAAGCUGUCAUAAGCCCAAGAUGUGUCUAAGGCCUGCCUUAAAAUGGUCUUAGCACUUUUGACCAAUUUAACCCCACGAAAGCUAAGACACAAACUGGGAUUAGAUACCCCACUAUGCUUAGCCCUAAAUCUUGAUGUCUUCUUCAUACUAGAACAUCCGCCCGAGGACUACGAGCACAAACGCUUAAAACUCUAAGGACUUGGCGGUGCCCCAAACCCACCUAGAGGAGCCUGUUCUGUAAUCGAUAACCCACGUUACACCCAACCGCCUCUCGCCAAAUACAGCCUAUAUACCGCCGUCGCCAGUUCACCUCUCCUGAGAGUCCAGCAGUGAACAUAAUAGCCCAAAUCCGCUAAUAAGACAGGUCGAGGUAUAGCCUACGGGGUGGAAGAAAUGGGCU
This 462-nucleotide ribosomal RNA is filed under the name Numenius phaeopus. Its description in RNAcentral is "partial 12S ribosomal RNA". It matches the Rfam family "Bacterial small subunit ribosomal RNA", at positions 543 to 1226 of the family's 1533-position model. The record is from RNAcentral. Lineage: Eukaryota; Metazoa; Chordata; Aves; Charadriiformes; Scolopacidae.